GACGAACGCUGGCGGCGUGCCUAACACAUGCAAGUCGAGCGGAGCCGUCCGACAGAUCCCUUCGGGGUGACGUCGGGGAAGCUUAGCGGCGGACGGGUGAGUAACGCGUGAGUAACCUGCCCAUAAGAGGGGGAUAACACAGAGAAAUCUGUGCUAAUACCGCAUAUUGAAUAUUUACCGCAUGGUUGAUAUUUGAAAGAUUUAUCGCUUAUGGAUGGACUCGCGUCUGAUUAGCUAGUUGGUGAGGUAAUGGCUCACCAAGGCGACGAUCAGUAGCCGAACUGAGAGGUUGAUCGGCCACAUUGGGACUGAGACACGGCCCAGACUCCUACGGGAGGCAGCAGUGGGGGAUAUUGCGCAAUGGGGGAAAGUCUGAUGGAGCAACGCCGCGUGAGCGAUGAAGGCCUUCGGUCGUAAAGACUCUGUUGUUAGGGUAAGG
This 439-nucleotide ribosomal RNA is filed under the name uncultured bacterium. RNAcentral's name for it is "bacterial SSU rRNA". It matches the Rfam family "Bacterial small subunit ribosomal RNA", at positions 28 to 449 of the family's 1533-position model. The record is from RNAcentral.